CAGCUUGUGCUCCGGGAGAUGGGUACUCUGUGGGGACCGCCGGUGUUAAAUCGGAGGAAGGUGCGGGCCACGGUAGGUCAGUAUGCCCCGAAUUUCCCGGGCUACACGCGGGCUACAAUGAAUGGGACAAUGGGUCCCUCCCCUGAAAAGGGCUGGUAAUCUCACAAACCCAUCCUUAGUUCGGAUCGAGGGCUGUAACUCGCCCUCGUGAAGCUGGAAUCCGUAGUAAUCGCGUUUCAAUAUAGCGCGGUGAAUACGUCCCUGCGCCUUGCACAA
RNAcentral lists this ribosomal RNA (276 nucleotides) under uncultured archaeon. RNAcentral describes it as "partial 16S ribosomal RNA". It matches the Rfam family "Archaeal small subunit ribosomal RNA", at positions 1068 to 1343 of the family's 1478-position model. The record is from RNAcentral.